CCUACGGGUGGCAGCAGUAGGGAAUCUUCCACAAUGGGCGAAAGCCUGAUGGAGCAACGCCGCGUGGGUGAAGAAGGUCUUCGGAUCGUAAAACCCUGUUGUUAGAGAAGAAAGUGCGUGAGAGUAACUGUUCACGUUUCGACGGUAUCUAACCAGAAAGCCACGGCUAACUACGUGCCAGCAGCCGCGGUAAUCCGUAGGUGGCAAGCGUUAUCCGGAUUUAUUGGGCGUAAAGGGAACGCAGGCGGUCUUUUAAGUCUGAUGGGAAAGCCUUCGGCUUAACCGGAGUAGUGCAUUGGAAACUGGGAGACUUGAGGGCAGAAGAGGAGAGUGGAACUCCAUGGGUAGCGGUGAAAUGCGUAGAUAUAUGGAAGAACACCAGUGGCGAAAGCGGCUCUCUGGUCUGUAACUGACGCUGAGGUUCGAAAGCGUGGGUAGCAAACAGGAUUAGAUACCCCGAUAGUC
RNAcentral lists this ribosomal RNA (465 nucleotides) under uncultured bacterium. Its description in RNAcentral is "partial 16S ribosomal RNA". It matches the Rfam family "Bacterial small subunit ribosomal RNA", at positions 338 to 795 of the family's 1533-position model. The record is from RNAcentral.